This 253-nucleotide ribosomal RNA is filed under the name uncultured bacterium. RNAcentral describes it as "partial 16S ribosomal RNA". It matches the Rfam family "Bacterial small subunit ribosomal RNA", at positions 524 to 776 of the family's 1533-position model. The record is from RNAcentral.
UACGUAGGGUGCAAGCGUUGUCCGGAAUUAUUGGGCGUAAAGAGCUCGUAGGCGGUUUGUUGCGUCGGCUGGGAAAUCCCGAGGCUCAACCUCGGGUCUGCAGUCGAUACGAGCAAACUAGAGUGUUGCAGGGGAGACUGGAAUUCCUGGUGUAGCGGUGAAAUGCGCAGAUAUCAGGAGGAACACCGGCGGCGAAGGCGGGUCUCUGGGCAACAACUGACGCUGAGGAGCGAAAGCGUGGGGAGCGAACAGG